UACGAAGGGGGCUAGCGUUGCUCGGAAUCACUGGGCGUAAAGCGCACGUAGGCGGCCUUCUAAGUCGAACGUGAAAUCCCCGGGCUCAACCCGGGAACUGCGUCCGAGACUGAAAGGCUUGAAUCCGGGAGAGGGAUGUGGAAUUCCAGGUGUAGCGGUGAAAUGCGUAGAUAUCUGGAGGAAUACCGGUGGCGAAGGCGGCAGCCUGGACCGGCAUUGACGCUGAUGAGCGAAAGCUAGGGGAGCAAACGGG
RNAcentral lists this ribosomal RNA (253 nucleotides) under uncultured bacterium. RNAcentral describes it as "partial 16S ribosomal RNA". It matches the Rfam family "Bacterial small subunit ribosomal RNA", at positions 524 to 776 of the family's 1533-position model. The record is from RNAcentral.